GAUGAACGCUGGCGGCGUGCCUAAUACAUGCAAGUCGAGCGAACGGACGAGCAGCUUGCUUCGCAGACAUUAGCGGCGGACGGGUGAGUAACACGUGGAUAACCUACCUAUAAGACUGGGAUAACUUCGGGAAACCGGAGCUAAUACCGGAUAAUAUUUUCAACCGCAUGUUUCAAUAGUGAAAGACGGUCUUGCUGUCACUUAUAGAUGGAUCCGCGCUGCAUUAGCUAGUUGGUAAGGUAACGGCUUACCAAGGCAACGAUGCAUAGCCGACCUGAGAGGGUGAUCGGCCACGCUGGAACUGAUACACGGUCCAGACUCCUACGGGAGGCAGCAGUAGGGAAUCUUCCGCGAUGGGCUAAAGCCUGACGGAGCAACGCCGCGUGAGUGAUGAAGGUCUUCGGAGCGUAAAACUCUGUUAUUAGGGUAGAACAUAUGUGUAAGCAACGGUGCACAUCUUGACGGUACCUAAUCAGAAAGCCACGGCUAACUACGUG
Molecule: ribosomal RNA, 497 nt
Filed under: uncultured bacterium
Lineage: Bacteria
Description: partial 16S ribosomal RNA
Rfam family: Bacterial small subunit ribosomal RNA
Source: RNAcentral